Molecule: long non-coding RNA, 3991 nt
Organism: Xiphophorus couchianus (Monterrey platyfish)
Lineage: Eukaryota; Metazoa; Chordata; Actinopteri; Cyprinodontiformes; Poeciliidae
Exons: 2
Source: RefSeq, a predicted model, not a curated record
CCCAUAUAUGGCGCUUGUGUUGUUUUCCUGUUUUGAACUGGUUUCCAUUGUGAUGUGAAGGCUUUAAACUGGUUUCCAUUAUGAUGUAAAGGCUUUAAACUGGUUUCCAUUGUGAUGUGAAGGCUUUAAACUGGUUUCCAUUGUGAUGUGAAGGCUUUAAACUGGUUUCCAUUGUGAUGUGAAGGCUUUAAACUGGUUUCCAUUAUGAUGUGAAGGCUUUAAACUGGUUUCCAUUGUGAUGUGAAGGCUUUAAACUGGUUUCCUUUGUGUUUCCUCUGCAGCGUCUCCACAUCCCAACCUGGCUGGGAAGCCGUGCCUGAAGCUGAAAAUCUACGUCAAACCGAGCAACGACUCCAUCUAUGAAUCUCCAGAGCCCUUCCUGACGGACGACACCACCGGCGGCAGCAGCCUGGCUCUGCCGUCCGCCAUAUUGCUCUCCCUCCUCCUCAUCCUGCUCCUCGCCUCCUCGUAGCACCUCCUCCUCUCCCUCCUGCUGCUGCCGGGACAGAUUUGGGAAGCGAGCGCAGCUCCCGCUCCCUGACCUCUGACCUUUUUCUGGACGUGGAUGAGGAGUCGGAGACCGGCAGCGGGAGGAACUGCAUCUGGAGUUUUUAAAAACUUUUCUUUUAAAAAAGCAAAAACUCUGUUUCAGAUCUGAACGCUGAGGCUCCACUGACCUCCAUGUUCACAGCUGGCUGGAUUUUAUGCAUUUCAGGAAACUCUUUAAAAAAAUCCAUUCAUUUUUUAAAAUAUCAUUUUGUUCAUUUUCAAGUUGAUGCCAAAGUUUUGUACAUCCGUUCUAUAAGCCCCGCUAAGGACAUACAAGUCGUUACUCUCCUAAAAUACAAUACAUUUUAAAACGUUGAUAUGUUUCACUCUUUUCCAUUGACUGACUAAAUCUUACAAAAACCUUAAAGGGCAUCUAUUAUGUAAAAUUCACAUUUUGCAUGUUUUAAUGCUUCCAUUUGAGUCUCAACAAUUUCUAGAAACAGUUUUAAGCGCUUAAAAAAAAUCAGCCAGGAGUUUUGUGGCAAUAAGUUUAUGUUUUUUGGUGUCUAGAAAAUGAGCCGUUUCAAAAACCUCUGGAACUUUGAGUUACGAUUGAUGGGCAUUUCGCUGUUACCUAGCAACCCCAGCUGAGUUACGCCCGUUACCUAGCAACCCAAAGGGAGCUCCAGCUGUUUUAGUGCUGUACAAUGGCUGCUGGAAAAGACAAAGUGUUUUUUGUUGACUUUCCAUCCAGAAACCACUUGAUGCAUUCUAGUUGGUUGUGCAGAGGCUCCACUUCUGCUUUUCAAAGAUGUACGGUUGUAUAAUUUUGCAGUCAUUUUCACAUGCGGGUGCGUUGAGUUGGGGGCGUGGCCAGCAGCAGCUUAUUUGGAUUUAAAGAGACAAGACAGCUAAAAUCUUAUCAUCUAAGAAUGAUUUUGUGCAGAAAAUGUAAAGAACAUAUUUUAUUUUAUCCAUAGAUUUGUCCUAAUCUGUUCAAGGACGCGUACUAGGUCACCUGUAAUGAGAAAGUCAAACUUUGUCCAACUAGUCUGUUUUUUUUAACUGGAAACUUCAUUUAUUUACCUGAACCUUAAGGGAAAUUUAACCAAAUUUACACUUUCUAUGCUGAAAUCUCUCCCAAAAUAAUACUUUUGUUACACAAAUAAGACUUAGUGAUUAAUUAUGCUUAAAAAUAAUUUGUUUGAUUUUAAUACAUUUAUGAAGUAAUAAAAAUUAGAAUUUUUUAAACUAUGCAUGUUAAUUUCCUUAAACAUCUAACAGCUAAAAACAGUUUAAAGGUUUCACUAGAGAUGAGCAGUGCCAUCUGGUGGCCACAUUAGACACUGCAGCUUUAACAAACUGGAUCUAGGUCUGGAAAACGUUACCAAAAUACGGACGUUUCUCCCUGAUACAUCAAGUCUUUUUGUUUUAACCUGCAAUAAUUAAAAAUUACAGCAAUAAGAGCGAUAAAUUGAAGCAAUGUUUAAAUAAAUAAUGAGUAGUAAUUUAGAUAAAUGUGUUAUUUUUGGAUCUGGGGUUCAGUUCUACCUGUGCAGCUUGGUGGUCAGUGGAGUCCAGCUUCAGCCUGAGGAACCCAUCAGAGACUGAGACGUCUCCUGCUUUCAUCACUGGGAACGGUUCGACCCAGAGACGGCCAUGUUUCAAUCACUGAUGGUUGCAGUCGCAGCGAGACACAGUUUCCACCGGCAACAAAAUCAAUGCAAAACCACAAAGUUACUCAAAUAUUCACGAGUCACAUCAGUCAGCCAUAACGGGCUGAAAGGUGUGUUGCUCUCAGUAACUGUUUUCAUUACAAAUGUCAGCAAAACGUCAAUAUUCUGCUAAUGUUGAAAAAAUACAAUUUCUAAAUUUUAUUAAAUGGACACUUCCUGUCGUCUUCUUUGUCGUUUCCGCCAGUAGUAACAUCUGGCUGAUUAUCAUGUGGCUCAAAUGAUGCGAAGAAAGUGUUUCCAUUGCAGUUUUGCGAAAUACAUUAAUUUCGAUACAGUAGAAAAACAACCUCACCUUGGCGCAAAAAACUGAAGUUUUCUAGAAAUUGAUGUUUCCAAUUAAGCAAAUAAAUUUUCUUAAUUUCAAUUUGCACAAUUUUAAGGCCAGUUUCCAGUUUAGCUGCGUUUCCACUACAAAUGUCAGUAAAAUGUUGAUAUUCUAACAUUGACAAACCCUACUUCAAUUCCAUUAAAUGGACACUUCCUGUUGUCUUCUUUGUCGUUUCCUCCAGUAGCAACAUCCAGUUGUUCAUCAUGUGAUUCUUAUGAUGCGAUAAAAGUAGAGACAAAAGAUGCAGUUUUCUGGUUGAGAUGCUCAGACUUAGUAAACUGUUUGUGGCUCAGCUCUGAUUGAUCUUCAUCGUUAAUAACCGGAGUAUAAACCGCCCAGCCCUGCAGCAGCGAACGCCCUUCCCAGUCGACGGCCUUUCCUUCCUGAUAACCUGCCAAAGACUUGCUAAACUUUUUUAUUGGAUGCUUCUUUGGAGUCGGGUUUGGGCUGCGCCACCAGCAGCUGGCGGAUGAUUUAAAGGGGCGGAGCUUCCUUCUUAUUUUCUAAAUUUUGUCGUUUUGUUGUAAAUAAAAAGUAAAACCGAAUGUCCUGCGAAAAAUACAAAUGUACAAAUAUAUAAAUGGCCUUUUUCUCCUCCCCCCCCCCCCCCCCCCCCCCGGUCCCCCUUCCCCACUGGUGCUGAAUUUUUAAUGACUCCGAAACAGCGCCACCUUGUGGUGACGCUUUUCAUCAGAAAAACCCCAAACUUUGUGUUGUCUUCAUCACCUCAUGACGUCCUUCCAUCCCCGAUGGAGGGAGGUGUGUCCUUGUGAGCGGAGGAGCCAGGGGCAUGCUGGGAAAUGCAGUAUCUCAAACGGCGGCACUGUGACGGAGGACGGGCGAAAACGUUUUCAAAACGAACGUUUCCUUUCUGCCAUUUUGUUUUGAAACCCAGGAGAUUACUCAUAUAUGAUGUAAAGUCUGAUGUUUAUUGUUGUUUUAGUUCCUGUUUGGUUCCUGCCUGAAUCACGAUGCAUUCUGGUCGCUGUAGUCCUGUGAGUUCUGGUUCUGUUGCUGGUUCUGGUUCAGUGGGUUCUUUGCCAUGUUAAUGUUGACUUAUGUGUGAAUGAAUUUAGUUUUUUUGUGGCACUAAAUGUAAAAGAAGAGGAAUAGUUACAGAAAAUAAAGCUAAGUGCAUUCAAGAAGGAAAUGUUUUUCUACAUCAAAAUGUCUCCAUAUUCUAUUCUUUCAAAGACAAAAAAAAAAUCUGUUUUUUUUAUAUUUUCUUAUUGGAUGCUUAUAAAGUCCUGUUGUAAAGUUAAACAAAGCAUUUAUCUGAUUGGCUCCAGAGAGGUCAGAGAUCACAGGCCUCCUUUUGUUAGCCUGCGCUGCAUGAGCAGGAGAAAUAAAUUAUAUUUCAGAGAGAAAAUGUUACGAUAUGAACCUGUGUUUGAUAAAAACUUACUGCUAAUAAAAAGAAGAUUUAAGUUCCACUCAA